This 43587-nucleotide long non-coding RNA is filed under the name Brachypodium distachyon (stiff brome). RNAcentral's name for it is "long non-coding RNA (BDIS_LNC001806)". The stretch from base 18453 to 18588 matches the Rfam family "MIR1120/MIR1122 microRNA precursor family". Lineage: Eukaryota; Viridiplantae; Streptophyta; Magnoliopsida; Poales; Poaceae. The record is from RNAcentral.
AGGGAGAGAGAAACGUUCAAACUGAAAGGAAAAAAUGGUGUAACUAUUUUCAAACAAAGGUAUUAAAUGUCGAUGGACAUGUCAGAGACAUCGGAUCAAGAUCCGAGGGUCAUCCACACUUUCCCCUCCGUAACGUGUUAUCGCUGGAUUAAAAUCUGACGACCAACAGGGGCGGAGUUACAGCGUAGACAUUGGGUUCAGAUGAGGAAUUGGAUCCGAGCCUACACAUAUGAACCCCAUGAUUAUAGUGUAAUGAACCCAGUGGUUUCCUUUUCUGGCUCCACCCGUGACGACCAAUCACGUCGACUUGUCUCUAACUAAAAAAAUACAGACGACUUCUUAAUAGCAAAACAUGAAAAAGGAAUAUAAUGUCUCUGUAAAAUAUAGAAAGACGUGGUUCUCCGUUAAGAUGUUGUGGUUAUUUCUCUUCUGUCAGUUGACCAUUUUUGUCCCCGUCUGAUCCAGCGCCGCUCCGUUACCGUACCAUGUUUUUUCACGUCAUUAUCCGUCCGUAUUCCUUAUUUGUUUUUGCAUUCAUAUCAUGUCCGUGCCGCUUCCAAACCAAUGGAAAUUGUGAAAUAAAAUAUGGUACUAUAUAAAAUCAUUAUCCGGUCCCGUUUUACAUAUAUGCUAUAUUCCUCAAGUAUGUACAUCGAUCGCGGUCUUGUAUGAUUCAAAAACAAAAACGAAAUAUCAGUAGAGAGCAAGCGUACAUGCACACGCAGGAUAUGCUUUCGUUGGUUAAUUCGGUGUACGUACGGACCACCGCGAUGUCUCUGCGCCCGUCGACGUCACACACGCUUACGUGAGUGCGUGCGUACAGUCGGUGAUUAAUCGAUCCGGAAACGUGCCAAUAUAGUCUGCAGCCGCGCCGGCUUUUUAUACUCCCUGCAAUCAAUGCACCCGGCCCUCUCGUUUCGGCCGAAAACUGCAUACCACGCUCGAUCGAAUCAUCCAAGUAUACAGAUACACACAUGCUUCUCGAUGACUCGAUCGAUGGACUUACGGUAUAAUCGUACAGUAGUUGCUUUCGCUUCCAGACGUAGGUACACGGAACGACGAACCGGGAAAAACGGCCCUCCUGCUCCUGGCUUGGAAUCAUUCCACCUCUGGUGGAAAUCCUGGACCACCCGUACGUCCAUAUGCUCCCUUGCGAGUUGCAGACACGUUAUACGUACUCAUGUAAUCGCUCCGUUUCAUAAAAAUUGACACGAUUUUAAAUCAGAACUAAGUUAAAAUCAUGUCAAUCUUCGUGAAACGGAGGAAGUACCUGACAGGAAUGCAUGCAGGGAUCAGGCACUCCAGUUUGGAGUUGGAACGGGGCACACAUGUGGAAAAAGUUUCGAACUAACAAGGUGGCGACUGCGACCAAAGCCAGAACCAUUUUUUGUCGAGCACGAUCGAUCGACCUGCAGCGCCAGAGCCACUAGAGGGCCCAGAUCAGCUUGCCCCGCCCCAAUUCCAUGCGUUCCGGUUGUUUCCUUUCGAGCCCCCUGCCCCAGUUGCCUGCCCUUUUAUCUCUCAGCGAUCAGUUACGUUCAUGCAUUCUUGGCCACACGUACCUACACUACAAUCGGUACUACUACGUACAUGCGAGAUAGCUAUGUCCCGAUCGAGCCUGCAAUUAACGGCAACUCGACCGAUCAAUCUGCAAGUAGAGACAGUAAUCUCGAAUUUGGUUCAAAAGCAGGCAGCGAAUCCUGGAACGACCAAGUUACACGGUACUCCUAUGUAAGCUAGUACUAGUACAACUAGUAGCAUGCCACCGGUGGAUCACUCACCUGGGGAUACAAAACCGUUCUCCUUCGAUUAGAGUCGUCUGCAUUAUUGACAGUUUCGAUGGACCAGGCAGACAGAAGCAAAGCCUGGAUGCGCGCGGGAUCCACUUGUCCAGCAAAAGGGCACGAAUCGGGGAGGUCACAGGACUUAAACAUACGAUAGGCCACGCGAGCCAAAGGCGUGCCGUACUGUGCUGCCCCUGCCUGGCCUGUCGUGUGAUGUGACAGAAAAAAAUUAAAGGGAGCGGCGAACCUGCGUUUCAUGAUCAUUGAUAGAUGGAUGGGUGGAUCGAGCUAGUAUUAAGCUGGUUGUGGUGUGUGUGUGUGGAGGGGGGUCUGUCUUUGAAAAGUCGACGCUGCAUGCGGACGUUCAGUUUCAAGUGGCGUGCAAGAUGUUCCUAGUGAAAAUGUGAAAUCAUGGGGGAAAUAGGCGAAGUUUGCAGGGUUGAACGGCACACCGCGUUUGGCUGACGGCUCUAUGCGCGGAUAUGAUGUUUUCUUUUUAACGAAUAUUCUGAUAUUUUUCAAUACCAAAACCGUAUUCGGAGUUAGCUGGCGUCUGAAUUUUAAACAGAAGACUUAAAUCUCCGGACUCUUGAAUUAAGAUCUAAGUGUCAUCCCCACUCUCUCUUCUCCCGCAUGCUGUUGUUGGAUUAAGAUCCAAUGUUCAAACACGUCAGCUGAUCGCUAACUAAGAAACAAGCGACUUCUUAAUAGCAAACCGUUUUCUGAAUCCCCACAUUCGAUAAUAAAAUUCCACCGGGAACCUACCAUGCUGUAUGCAGAUAUCGACCUUCUUUUUUUGGAUUGUGAUAAGUGUAUUUUCAUAGUUUAAAUAUUGUUCACGGUGCAAAUUCCGCCCUUGCGUGGCGGGUUAUUGGACAUUCAACUGUGGAUACCGAGCUUAGCAAAUUUUUGUCGAACUCUUUUUGGAAUGGAAUGGAUUAAUACAAUUUGACUAAGAGUCAUCAUUUUUAUGGUUUAGGGUGGUGGCUGCACCCCAAAACCUACCAAGGAUCGAACCCCAGGUUUGACCCUCGGCGUGUCUCAUUUGAGCCGAAUUUCUUUUGGCAGUAGGAGAUGCAAUCCGUUCACGCUUCACACUGAAGCGUCAGUGACUUCGUCGAUCUCAAAACGUUUUCACGAUUCUGGUCAUCCGUGUGAGUGUGUGCGCACGGCGGUGUACGUCGUGUGUGAUCAUUGUUCCUAAAAUAAAGUACUUCCUUCGUCUAACAAAGGAUGUCUGAAUUUUGAUUAAAUUUGAAUGCAUCUAUACAUCAAGUCAUGUCUACAUACAUCAACAUUUUGACAAACUUGAGACAUCUUUUGCUGGACGGUGAAAGUAUAGGAGCCCGGGAAUAGCCGCAUCUUAUUACAAGCAAUUAAUAUUUCGACCCUGAACCAGUUUGAGCUUAACCCCAGUGGAUCGGAAUCGGGUUCACUGAGCGAGCGAGCGCUCCAUUACAGAUUUUUACAGGCACUGAGGCACCGUCUCUUCCUGCUGCCCCCCUCCGGGGAGCUAGCUGCGUGCUAUGGACCGCCCAUUCGUGGAACGGGCUGUACCCACCAAUACCUACGUACCUGCGCGCCUGCCAUGCCACCCCUCUGCCACGGGGGGCUGUCGGCUCCAAAGAAUCAUGCAAUAAUUACCAGCUUCUUCUAUCGGCGGCAUACAGAGGAGAGGAUUGAGCUUUUGAGCAUCUCGUGUGCAGAGAGAAUCUCUCUGCCCGUUCGCGCCAGGUGGAUGUAUUUACUUGCGCCAGGAGCAAACGAGCAACUCGUGACCGCCUACGCACGUUUCCCCGACUAGACAAGUCAAUUGGUGAAAAUUGGUGAAAUUGGCAGCUAGCUUAUUUAUCCCUUUAUCCAUUCGCACCCACCCCACCCCGGCCACCCUCCGCGCUGCGCAUGCAUGCAUGUCCUCGUGGGCUCUCGAGGACUUGAAGUACGUACGUCGCAUGCAUGCAGAUAAGACGGAGCUAGAGAGAAAGCCUCUUCUUUUCGCUCGUGGCCCGGCAUGUGCAUGCCAAUGGCAAUGCCAGCGUCCCAGUCAGCUACUCUCUCCGUUCCAAAUUCUUGCCUCAAAUUUAUCCAAAAAUAAAUAUAUUUAUUUUUUAAAAACGUUUAUAUACAUGUAAUAGUCCGACAAAAAUUAUGAAACGGAAGGAAUACUGACCAUAGCUAUGGUCAGUACAACUCCUAGUGACAAGUGCAAGCAGGGGAAGUUCAUACUCUAUGUGGGAGGUGCAAUGCAUCUCUCGCUCUAAAGACGUGGUACUCCUAGACUACAGGACUACCACGUACUGGAUUCAUCGAGAUGUGAUGGAACGGUGUACCAGGGUGCGUGGCAUGCAUGUAGACGCCGGGCCGAUCGAUGUAUGUCGAGAGCGGGAUAUGGACAACGAAAAAGGGUGUGGGCAGGGUAGGUGUUCGAUCAAAAUCCACGGACAGUUCCAAACUGAGGAGACCAUGGGGAAACUACUGGACAUCGGGGGUAUAGUGUUCACGUGACGUCAGAACUGGGGAGAGCUACACAACCUCAAGUCGUCGUCUUCUGGUAAGCAAGAGGACCCUUGUUUGGGAGCGCAAUGCAAGUGCAGAUGUUGUGCAGGCGCAGCAGAGACGUGACCCUUGCAGAAGAAAACGCGAAGAGCCGGGUAUAGUGGAUAUGUGGAUGCGUGAAUUAUCGUGGGCCGGGCCGCUUCAAAGCCUGGUAACGCGUGUCGUCGUGGCCUGGCCCAGAUUAUGCUGCUCAUCCGUCCAGCUCGCAAUACAUGAAGAGAAGUUCAAAAACCCGCUGUCCACUUUUGCAUUUAUCCAACGUUUCCUUGAUGAUUUGUCUCUCAUUCGUGAUGUUGUCCAUGCUGUGACACCGGAGCCUCCUCCUGGUGGUGGUCGCCUUGUCCCGCCCACCAACCGCUGGUCUCCUCCGUCGGCUGGUAUGUGUAAAAUUAAUGCGGAUGCUGGAGUUGCAAGGUCAGGUGCAGGUGGUUCUUGUGCUGCGGUCUGUCGCGAUGAAUGUGGAAGAUUCAUGAGAGCCUCUUCGAUUACAAUCGAGGGCAUGACCGACCCUACAAUACUUGAAGCAUUGGCAUGUAAUGAAGGCUUGUCUCUGGCCUUGGACCUUAACAUCUCAAAAGUUUGUGUUGUUUCGUACUGCUUAACGGUUAUCAAGAGUCUACAACAAGAUGAUCUUUGCUAUUAUAGUGCGAUCAUUAAGGAUAUUGUGGCAAGGAAGGAUCAGUUCCGUGAUGCUGUUUUCAGACGUGAGAAGAGAACUCUUUAUAGAGAUGCUCAUAAUCUAGUUAGAGCGGAGUUACCGCUUUCUGUUGGCCAUCAUAUUUGGCUUUUAAGUACCCCAUGCAUUACUUGUAUUCCUGUUCAAGUUGGUGUUGAAUAAAGCUGGCCUUUCCCCUAAAAAUAAAAUAUCCGUCCAGCAGAACUGAAUCCCCAAUAGCGCGGUUACAAGACAAGAAUGAUUAUGUAAUUAUGUUCCUUGUUAUCGUUUCACUUUGCACCACAGAAAGAGUGCUCUGUUUGGCUCCACCAAGGCAAAAGGAAAGAGAAACAGGAACCGAGGAGUGUCUCAUUGUCAAUUACUAAUUCAGCCAACGAACCCAUAAAACAUGUACCGACGCAAAUGCAAUUCAUCAGAAGUGUUCUUCAAGGAAGAACACAGACAGGGUAUCGGACUACCGGUGACUAUGUUUGGAUAUCUUACAUGCUCAGAAUGCUGCGGGCGAGUUAACUGGGAAAUAAUUGAAGAUGAAGAAAGGACACAGCAAGUUACAUAAGCGGCAACAGAUUUUGCUAGAGUGGCACAGCAGUGGCAGGUGCUGGAACAUGCACCUCAAAUACAAUCAGGAACUCGAACUGUUUAUAGCUUUGGACACUUUCUUCCAUCGCAAAACACUUCGAGUUUGUUCUUAUCAAGCAAAUGGUUUUCGAUUAGGCCCAGAUAUGACAUGGUGUUAUUACAUGCAUAACAGCGCUGGCUUGUCAAGCACCACUGGCAUACAGGCGAGUCCACUCCUUCGCUGCAAAGCAAAAAAAAAAUUGACAUGUUAGGUACAAAAAGCAAUGAAAAGUGGAGCAAAAUGACAUGCUAGUGUAUCAAAGUGCAGUGUUAGCGUGCGGCUUUGUUGGCUGAAUUUUCAGUUACCUGUCUCGACAGCUUCAGCUUCAUUGGAUUUCCAGUGUUUUGCCACGUUUUCUGAGAGCGGAUCAUCUGGAUUCGGAGCGCUCAGCAGUGCCUGAAUGCUGCAGACCAAACAUUGUAAAGAGGCAAAAAAAAAAGAGUAUACAAUAGUGGAUACAAGAAGCAACCCUCUGGAAAUACGAUAAUAUGAUACGAUCAUGAACUAUAAUGAAACUAUUUGGCCAAACAUGCCACGGAAGACAGAAGAGGUUGCUACCUCAAAAGAACAGUACGUAUCUGAAGAGCUGGGCUCCAUUUGUCCUUCAGGAUAUCGAGGCAUAUCCUACCAAGCUGCAGUGCAAGUCAAUCCGAAAUGAGAAACUGUUAUCGAAUGAAGUUCCAUUGAGAAUAUCAGUUCCCUACCUUGUCAAUGUUGGGAUGGUAUAUUUUUGUGAGAAACCUAACCUGCGUCAGGAAUAACCAAAGAGUGAUGUCCAUCAGAAAGAAUCACAACAGAGACAACAUACAGAAAAGUCAAAUAGAAUUGUGUAACUACUUUGGUUAGACGACAGUGUCACACUAAAACUAAAACAACCAUGUUGAUAUCCGUAAGAGUAAAACAGUCCAAGGACAGGAGUUGAGAACAAAAUAUUCAGCUACCUCUUAUUUAACAUGAUGGAAAUUACUACUCCCUCCGAUCCAUAUUAAUUGUCGAAAUAUUACAUGUAUCUAGACAAUUUUUUAGCCAUAGAUACAUCCAUAUUUGGGCAAAUUUGAGACAAUUAAUAUGGAUCGGAGGGAGUAUUAGUCUGAGUCUCAGAUGAUAUAUCACAAUGUCAGUACACUCCAAAUAUAGCAUUGCCAAUUAAGUAAAGUAAAGUACGGAACUGUGCAAAGGAGAUUAGUUAAGUGAACGGAGAGAGAAAUCUAGUAUGGAUACGAAAAGUAUUAACACAAUACUAAACAUGGGCAUUCAGUAUUCCUGAUCACAAAGAUGGUAUGCAAAUCUAUUAAUGGUACAUAUCAACAACAAACAUGGGCGCUGCCCAAAAUAAGAUGUCACAAUAAAUUGCUGGUUUCGGUUAACCACAGGCAUAAUUAAACGUCCAUCCCACUGUCGCACCAUAGCAUGAUAAAAUCAUUGCGAAGAUCGCUCUGCCAGAUUUUGAACUCAAAUUUCAGUUACAACUUACAACUAGGAAAUGAACCAAAUUCCACAUCAAGGAGCCUACCGGGACAAGAAAAUCCAUCACAAUAUGUGUCAAACUAAUAACUUCUUAAACAACCAUCCACUAAUACUUGAUCAAAAAAUUACUUUUGGAGCAGCCAUCGGAUAUUCCUCAGGUAAGAAAAGUUCAAGCUUGAAAACUCCACCUGUCCAACACAUAUUAGAAGAAAUAUCAGGAGGACCAGACACAGACAACUAAACAAAAUAAUGUUUCACCCAAUUAAAAAUGUCAUAAGCAAAUACAGUAUACAAAGAUAAGUAAACCAAGCUUAAAUAAAUAAGAUAACAUAGUGACAAAUGUACUGUCUAACAAUAGGAAAACAGGUCGUUCUGUGUACCAUUUAUCAUAUACAUGCACCGCAUUUCAUUACUCCAUGUUGCAUGGAAACAUGGUAGAUAGUUCCUUGUGCCGUAUAUCAGUAAACUUCAGUAAUCGCAAAGGUUAAGGAAACCCAAGACAUUCAAUUCCCAUAGGUUACUGAUAUAUGGUACAGUUGUAGAUCUAGCAUGUUAAGGAAACUACAAACUUGUGCCCCAUAUCAUAUCUAAACUAAUAGCAGGUAUAACUGUUGAAGUAUAAGGUGAAUUGCCCUCAUUUCUCCAUCAGCUUAGGCUUUUAGGGGCACUGGUUCGGCCCAUAUGCAACUCUCCAUGGUAUCCGAGCCAAGAGGUCCCGAGUUCAAGCUCAAUAUAAUAAAAAGGCACUUUUGAUCCAUGAGGGGGAGUGUUGAAGUACGAAAUGAAUUGCACUCGUUUCCCCAUCAGCUUAGACUUUUGGGUGAACUGGUUCGGCACAAGCAACUCUACAAAAGGCAGUCUUCCUAUGUGGAAUAACUUCUACAAAUAAAAAACCAGGUUCACUAGAGCUUAAGAUAACCGAUGAAAUGGACUUGUCAAGCUAUAUUUUGUGAUGGAUUCAACAAAGCAGAAUCUCAAAGUAUAGAAUCCAAAAGGCACAGAAGAGUACAAUUACCACUGGAACAGCUGGGUACAAGAUGGUCGGAUUGCUGGUCUAGCAAACAUAAGUUUAGAAGUGUAUAGUUCCGGCAGCACUAGAACAACACCUUUAUGUGACCAUCCUGAUAUGAUCAUCCAUCUGUGAUGUUUUACUACAUAUUUGCAGCAUUUUACAAACAAAAAGAGCCAUAGAUACGAAAAUGGGGACGCGGUGACCACAGUUACAGUCCUAAAUUGCCACAGAACUACGCAUUCGUGCUCCAAAGUAUUACAGGGUUAUCGGCAUACGAAACAUUCCAACAGAAAUAAAAUGAAAAGGAGGUUUUACCUUCAUAAGGAGACUGCGCCGGACCAAGGACCAUGACAUUGAAGUAGCGCAUGUUCUCCUCCGACGGCGACGCGCUAAUCCCCGGCGCUGCACGCACCCCCCCAACACACGAAUCAGCACAAACAUCCGAGGCUCGAACGCGGACAACACAACAGGAGCAUCGAAUUCUAGGAAAACGAACCUGGUUCGCUGAGCAGCCGCUGCGUCUCCUGCAGCAGAUCCAAAUUCCGAACAGAUUAGGCACCACGCACAAGGAAUAACCAGACGAUAAGGUUAUCAUAUCGCGUUAGAGUCUCAGAAACGGCUGUAGAUCUGGGGGGGUGAGGGGCGAUCGGAUCGCGGGGUAGGGCGCGCGCACCUUGAUGAUCCGGCGCGGGAGGUUGCUGUUGGCCAUGGAGUCCGGCCGGGGCUGGAGCGAGAGCCUAGAGGGGAGGGGGGGAGGGACCGCCUCGAGCUUCGCGCGGCGACGGAGGAGAAGACAGCGCGAGAGAGGUCAAAGGAGUCGUCGAUCUGUCGGGGAGGGCGAGCCGGGGGAGGAGGCGACGAACGAACAGAAAUGGGUCAGGGUCCGAUACUGUGUACCACGUAUUUAUAAACUCCACGCUACAGCCGCUGCUGCUGAUAUUUUCCUUUUCCUCUUGAGCUGGUGUUUUCGUUUUAUACUCUACCGACCUGUUUGUUUGUCCUUCUAUUUCAGUUUUUUUGCAUCUGGCAAUCUUAAAAGCAUCUUUUCUGUUUACACGUGAAGCUGAGAGGCACCUCCGAACAUGCUAAACACUGUUUACACAUGAAGCUGAGAAGCACCUUCGGACGUGCUAAACAGAAAAAGUGCUUUUGAGAUUGCUAAAAGUACCAAAAACUGAAACAGAAGUCCAAACAAAUAGGCCCAGAGUCUGCUGGAUUGUGAAUUUGAAUACGCACACGGCGAAAUCAAAAUACGAAGUCAUGGCCACUAUGUUUAAAAUAAAAUUCGUGUACUUGGACAAAACAGAAGUUGUUCGGUGAAUAAAAAAACCCUAGAAAUGAUUUUCCGACGUAAUAAACGGUAUAAUAGUACUACUAGUAGUACGAGGGCUGCUGCAGCGGAGAUUAAAAAAAAACGGUGUUCGUUUUAGGUGAGCCAGGGAGAGCAUCUCUCCACGCGAAGGGAGCACACAAUUUAUGCAUGUGCAGAGAGAGAGAGCACGGAGAAGAACAACCUUUGGGUUUGCCUAAUUGCAACGGCCAACUUGUGACUUUGUGUUGUGCGCGCUCGUCGUGGAAGGAUCUCAGGCGAAAAGGAAGGUGGGGGAAAGCUCGAUUAUUCUCCGCAGCUUCAAUCCCACGCUAAGCCGCCUGGUCGAAAAGGUUUGGCUGGCCAAACCGGUUUUGCAUGGUACUCCGUAACAUGUUUUUCAAGUUUUUUAGAACUUUGGAGGAACUCGAAACAAAUUGAGAGCAUACGCUUUCUAAGAGUUGAAAAGUAUUAUUUUCGAAGCACGGGCAGUCGGGCACGGGCAUCAGAGCAUCUCCGUUGCCAGUCGCUCGAAGCGAAGAGAAAUCACGCACUUCCUCUGCUACCGAAGCGAAGGCAGGAACAAGAACAACAGCGACGAGACACAGCCAGAAAUUCGGCAUAGUAUUUGCUCAGGGCUAGAUUCCACUGUAUUCGCUGUAAUCUGGUAAAGCAUGUCGCAUGUGCCCAGACUACAGGAGGAUUUCAAGACAAGUAUCCAGUCCUGUCUUAUUUACAACAGAUAGCGUGCAAAACUAUGCUCAAGAAUCAAGAUAGAUAAAUAACACUGGAUUUCCCCAGUACUUGCUACUUCACCGAACUACGGAGUACAACUGGUAAAGAAUAGUUUCACAAGUCGGAUCCUGAGAUCACAAUGAAAGAGAAGAUACAACAGGGAGUAUUAAAUCUGCACAUGAUCACAAGGAAAUCCAGAUGCACAUGAAUCCAGACAAUAGGAAGAACAGGGAACAGUUUGACAUAUUUUUUCUAAUAAAACAGAAGGUCAGAGUUGCAUGCCUACAUUGUCAACAAAAUAAUAGAUGAAUUGCACGAACAUACCUCAACGACUCAAUGUCAACAUGGAUUUACACUAACAAUUUUUAGUCUUUGACCUUUCAUACUCUUCAGAAUUAAUUAUUACCAGACUAAAAACUACAAUGCACCUAAGAACACGAGCUUUCGCUUCAGAAUAUCCCAAGGAUGGUGGGGGCAGGUGGAGCACGCCAUCAUUGGAGAGCAAGAGCAACGCCAUGUCAUUAACUGAUCAUCUUCAAAUGAUAAUCUGUAGAAGAGACAAUGGACAAGAGUCAAUUGAUCGCUUCACCAAACAGUAACAUUACAAAUUUGCUAUACAGGCUCCAAACAAACUGAUUUUCUAUCAGUCUACGCUUAAACAUAGCAGUUAACAGGGGCAAAGCUUAACACAGGCCCAUCAGCAAUCAUGCAGAGAACAAGGCAAGGCAGAUCAUCCAUGGGAAUCACACAACAAUCCACAAGGAAGCAUGCAUUACAUUCUUUGGAAAGCCAAUCAAGAGAAAUCUGGGUUCAGCGAUCGGAAAGAUUUACAAUGGAUAAGAUAUGUCAAAAUUUCAGUACUGGAAACUUCAGUUACAAAGCAAUUUGAUAAAUCUUACAUGCCAAGACAAGUAUAGAAGAUAUAUCUUUAUAUAAUAAUACUGACUCGUAAUUGUUAGGCUUACAGCAAAAAAAAGGUUAAGUUUCAUUAAACAAGCUUAUUUAUCGGUCUCUGAGGAGCUGGGUUACCUGUAGAUAAAUGGGACCAGAAACUAAGAGGUUACCUGUUGACUCAAGCUUAUGCUUAUUUUGGCGAUACACGUACUCUUAGGCUGGACAUAAUUCACCCUAACGAUUCUCACUAAGACAUGAGAAAGGAAUUCUAGUACGGAAAGGAAGUGAAAACCAGCGCAUGUGCAUCCAAGUGACUCCUAGUGAAACAGCACAGAGAGUGUCCCAGAUCGAUUUUAACUCUGAGUCACCAAGUGGUUCGUCGGUAUCAAUUUGAUCCUAACAGAUUCCAGGCAAUACCAUCAUAUGUCACCCAGUCAUGAUUUCCAGGAAAAGAAUAUAAGUAUUUUCAUCAUACAGACAGAAUUGAAGAAAAACUAUUAUUAGACCAUACAUUAUGGUCUUUCAUUUGUCAUGACAAAAAUGUACUCCCUCCGAUCCAUAAAAGGUGACGCCCAUUUUGUACUAAGUUAGCACAAAUUUUGUACUAGGUGGGCGACACAUUUUAUGGAUCGGAGGGAGUAAUAAGAAACACUAAAAGCUCAAGAUAGAAACUAUGAUUAGUUAGUUCAAUCUUUUAAUAACACCUAUGACAUAACAGAGCUGCACAAUUAUAAUUCUGUAAAUUUUAUCACACCCAAAAACCCAGAGAACCAAACGAUAAGAUACAUAAGUACUUAAAUCUACAAUCAUAACGAGAUGGUCAACAUAUCUCAUCAAUGCACAAAAUUAAAUAGAAAAACACACGACGAAAACAUCCACCAAACAUUAUCUACUGAAGACACAAAAUAUAAAUAGAAUCUCACAAAGCCUACACCAGGAUAGAUCUUAUAUGUGAAUAUCAAUGCUCAACAGGACCGAAAGCCUUAUUUAUGAAGGUUAUCGCACAUUUGGGCUAAGGCCAUUGUAACAUAAAAUAGUCCAAAAUGCACAACAUAUGGGGUGGUCGGACUUCGGCAACGAAACUUCAGACAUACUCGCUAGAUUUUCCGAAGCAACAGUAUCUAAACUUUUUUGUUGCUAAUCCUCCGCAGCAACUCGAGCCAAUUGUUUACCAAGAUCCUUAUCGAGAUUAGCUAGAUUAUUAAACCUUGACUGUAGAUAAACGGACAUGUAUGUAACAUAUUGCUCAGAACAAUCAAGUCGGGCUCACCCAAGCUUGUUUACACCCAUAUGAAGGAAAGGCUUAUUGAAUUGCAUUGUCAGGAAAUCAGCACUUCCCCAAACAAACUGAAAGUACCUUUAUUCCACAACCUAUAAACAUCAAUGGAUAUACUCAGAACACAACAGCUUACAUGUGUGGACCUUCCCACCAUUAAGGCCAAACAUAGUAACAAUAAGUUCCACUUAUUAAAAUGUCAUUGUAUACAAGAAUGUCAGAUUAAAUUAUGCCUCUACACAAGCAUACCAAUCCUGUCACUAUCACUGAAAGUCUGAAACAUUAACUAACAGCCAACAUCAUGCCACAUAACUUGUAAUUUUAGCACAUCAACAUUAGCAUUACAGAAACAAUAGUAGCCACAGAUCACAUAAACGAACAAAAACAAUCUACAGCAAUGUUCUAAACUGAAAUGCUAAAACAUACUUUACCUAAAACCCUCGUCCGCAUCAGAGGUAAUUGGAGUUGGAAAGGAAAGGCAGCGCAGCAACGGAUGAAAUCAGCUCCACUCCACCAGCACCAUUGGAUGCAGCCCCUCCGCUCUUCUUCGUGCGCUUCACCCUUGCGAGCUUCACGUGCGCAUCGACGAAGUUCUCCAUGCGCUUCACCUCCAGCUGCUUCAGGAAGUCAAUUCGCUCGCGUUCCAUCUCUAGCGAAUGCUUUUGUUUCGCACUCUCCACGCGCUCAUACAUCUCUGCAAAAGCCUCAAUUGCCCUCGCCAGCUCGCUGACACCACUAUCCCCAUCACCGCCAGCCUCGCGACGAAAGGGACGCUUGUUGCUACCGCCGGAGCGCGCCGACGAGACAGAACGCGACGGUGACCUCCGCAAGUUGUCAUGGUGGUUGUUGUUGUUGUUACCACCAGGAUGAUCACCAGAGUCCUCCGAAUCAGACACCGCUGCAGCGGCGGCAGCGGCUUCCUGCUGGAUGAACGCAGCGGCAGGGAGCAGCGCCCCGCGGCGGUAGCUGGGGAGGGGCAGAGCCAUGGGCGGGGGCGGGGACGGCGAGGAAGAAGGCGACGGGUACUUCCUCGCGGCGGUAGAAGAAGGAUGGACGGGCAGGGCGAGGUGCGGGGCCAUCGCCGGCGAGGGCCGCUUGUUGGCGGCGGAGUUGAGGGUGGGGCCGACGAGUCGGUCGAGCUCGUCGAAGAAGCUCCAGCCCGACGGCGCGCCGCGGACGCGCUCGGCCUUGUACUUCUUCUUGAGGGUGUCGACGCGGUUCUUGCACUGCACGUCGGUGCGCGGCGGGCGGCGGCGCGCGGCGGCCCCGCGGCGCGAGUUGACGGCGUUGGCCACCUCCUGCCACUGCUUCUGGCGCAGGUUGCCGCGGUUGAGCUCCACGUAGCGGCUGCCCCACGCGUCCACCAGCGCCGCCGUCUCGCCCUCGCUCCAGCAGUCCUCCCGGUAGGGCAGGUUAGGGUUGGGCGGCGGCAGCCUCCCAAACCCUCCCCCUCCUCCUCCUCCCCCUCCUCCCGCCGCCGCCGCAGCAGCAGCCGCAGCCAUCUCCCUCACCUCCAUCGGAACCAGAUCUCGCAGGAGCAAACCCUAACCCUAGCUAGCCCGCCCGCCGAGAGAAGAGGACCGAGCGAGCCUCGGGGAAGUCGCGCGUGACGGUGGGCUAUGUGAGCGGUGGGGGGUUCGGGGUUGGAAUAAAAGGACACGGCGAGGGAAGGGGGGAGGUGGGGUCGCCGGCCGCGAGGGGUCCGGGUUCCGUCCGUCACGCACGCGGCACGUGACGCGUGACCGGCGAGGGGGGGGCGGCAUCGGCAUGGCAUAUCUCGCUCGCUCUCGUGUGUCGUGGGUGACCGGAUUCGGAUCGGAGACGUGCCGCCGUUGGAUUGCGUUUGACCGGGUAACCGGCGAUUACUUUCGGGUUUCGGAGGGCGGGUGGGAUAAUGACAGCCAGCCAGGCACAGGCAAAGCAGAGCGCGGCGACAGGCGACAGCCGGAGACCGGACGGAAUACGGUGGCUGGCGCGGGGGUGGGAAAUUACCGCGUUGCCCCUACCCCGGGGAGCAGGCCGGGGCGGCACGCGGCAGGGGCAAGGCGGGGAUUUCGCGUGGGGCGGCGCGGUGUCAGGGGGUGAGCUGGUCGCCGUUGGUCGGUUUGCGUUUCGGGGCCGCCGAAAGAGGGGAGAGGAGAGAGAGAGAAACGCGCCGAGGAUGAUGGGGAAGGGAGAGGAGACUCGCGAACCGAAGACACCGCUGCUCCUCGCUCUGUACUCCAGUCUAGGCUUCUAGCUAGACUCGGCGCGGUGGAGUGGGUGGGUGAAGAGACUGAGGCGCGGGGCCCGCGUGCAAGCAGGCAGGGCGGGCAAUUAUUGUCGCCUCUGGUGCCGUCGCUCGGUACAGAGGACGGACGGACGGACGGCGUGGGCAAAAUUUAAUCGGCGUGCAGCAGGUGCCGGCUGCCGCCUGCAGGCGCCGGUCCUUCGGAUUGAUCGGUGGAUGGAUGCACUCGCCAAUGGCAAUUCAUCCAUCAAACAUCAUUCGUUACUGUAUAUUUUGUGGCAAAUCAAGAUUAGAGGUUCAUCAUCCGUUUACCGUUUUGGUUUGUCCCCUGGCGUCAUCAUCACCGUCUGGGCUUUGGAACUGACAAUAUGGUUCUUUCGGUGAAAUUCAGGUGAAAGUAAAACUCCACCGGUAGAUAGCAGCGGCCAUGGUGCCGUCGUGGGAACAGAGCAGUACGUACGUUACGGGCUCGCGUCAAAUCCUCGACGGAACCGUGCCCGCUGCACCGGUGGGUGAACAGAACACCAUAAAUCCCUCGCGGCCGUGGAGAGAAGUCAGGGGAACCGCGUGUACGUACGUGGUCCUCUCCUGCUAGCUAUAGCUAGGCUGCCCCGUGCGACCGGCGGCGAGGAAACGGCACGCUCGGGAGCCGUCAACAUUGAAUCGGAGGGCCGGGCGGCCGCGAUAGCGUAGCGACCAGCGAGAUACUCAGUCAGUACGGGCUACUUCGGGCUGUCACGCACGCACCGAGCCGGACGGCCGGGCCGACGCGUCGGGCUUGGGAACCACCGGCGCCGCAGGGGCGGGCUCGGACCGCGUCCAACGCCGCAGGCUUUGCAAAGCUUGCGUUGCGUGUACCCCACGCUACCACGCGGGUCCCCUCCACCAAUCAAUUCCAGGCCGGACGGACGGCCGGUACCGUGUACCGACGCGUCGCCCGCCGGAUCUCCGUGGCGUUUUCCUUUGCCUUUAGUUGUGUACCCGCCCCGCUUCACGCCGGCCUUGUGCGGCAGUUGUGUACACACACGCACGCACUUGUACUACUACUGGUGGCCUUGGACUUUGCUGGUUGCUGGUGCGCACCCAGCUUUUUGCGAACGGUUCCGGGAAACGCCGGCGGAAACUUGUGCGGCGGGUCGGUCGGUUGCCGGGGAAGGAAGGAUUCUUCACACAAGCAACGUGAGAUCUGACCAAGGGGAGCAGCAGCCAGCCAGCACGAGCAGCAGUUCGGCGCUGGAGCUACGCGCGAGCUGGGGCAGGAGCUACACGCCAUGUACGUUGCGUCCCCGGGCCGGUUUGAUUUACGACCGGAAGAGCCGCAGCGUUUCCGGCGCGAUGACCGGACAAAUUAGCCGGCUUGGCCGAUGGCUAUACUAUAUCGGAUUGGACAUAUGGAGUGAUAGUGCUCCCGACAGGUAGGAGACGGACGGACGAGAGCGAGUAAACUGCUGCCUGCGACUCUGCGAGUCCUGCCGUGCACGGCUCCAUGGACGGACCGCACGUCCAUGGCCUGUGUAGCUCCGACCGCACCGGACGCAGGCAAGCGGGACGUGCUGUUCAUCCUGCAGACGGGACUGACCCAAGUUAUUGGAGACGCGUCGGCAUUGAAGCCUUUUCCAUUCUCAGGAGCAUGACGUAAUCACGGGAUCACGCACGGCGUGGGCAAAAGAUUACCAGCCGCGCCGCGCGUGCCUGACUGCCUGUGCAGCUGUGCUAUUUUGAGUGCAGAAUACAGUUCUUCAGAACCGCGCCUGUUUUUUGAGGCUAACUGAACAUGCAGUUCCAUACAAUUUCAAAACUCUACGUAUAAUACGGAAGGGUAAAAGAUACUGAGGCGGUCGAGACCACUGUCGCGACACGCGAAGCCUGAAAUCGUAGCGGAUUUACUUUUUCUUUCUCUCGGGGCAACGUCCAGCAACAGCAAGUGACUGCUUGCCGGUUCAUCUGGCCGGACUGAAGGUGCAGAACUAUCUGCUUCCAUGACCAUGUCAUCUUACUGAACUGAUGUUGAUGUUGAUCGAACGGAAACUUGGUAUUAGUGCAAUUUGCAUUUGGUAGACGGGGGGUGGGAUGAAGAAGCUGCAGCGCAUUGGUCAGGGCAGCAGAUGGAAAACGCUGGAGACGGAGGUCAAAGAAGACGCGCGUAAAGGAACCGGUCAGAACAGUGACUUCCUUACUGGAUUUAGGUGACAGGCUGAAAAUUGUUUAUACUUUGGCACGUUGCCUGGGACACAGCAGUGGACAAGUUCGGUUCGGAGAAUUCUAUCCUCCAGUCAUGUUCCUUCUCGGUGAUUAACUAUCAGCUCAUCUGCCAAUCACAUGUUCUGUGGUGACAGCAGCCAGCAAAAAUAACCGAACGGAUUAGUGAUCGCCUAGAUUAUGUAGCUCAAUUUGCAUGCGUAGUUUCAAACGGUAUAAAACGAUGCCUUCGAAGAAAUGGGAGUAGUAAAAAACAUGUGGACUCGAUUUGGGCCGGGCCGCGAUAUCUUCGGUUCUCCACCCUCUUACGCGCAGCGUUUCUUCUCAGUGUCUGCUCAUCACUUGCGUUAGCUUGUAUUGUUUGCCUUCGCUUAAUAUUAGUGCCAUGUUAUCAUGGCUCCAUCGCCCAGUCGAACGCCGGCUAUCAGUUCAAAUUAUGGAUAGUCUAUUGGCUUUGAAUAAUGCGUGUCCUUGCUCUGAUUCCGUUGAGUGUCAUUCCAAGAGUAGGUAUCUAUCAGAAGAAUUUUCAGCAAAUGUCAGUGCUGCUUGAAGUCAACGAGUACUAAUCACAACAUGUGUGAACAUUUGCCAUCCUCCUGCGGUGCACUCUGACCUGCAUUGGAGAGCUGUAUUGCAGCCUGAAGGUCUUCUUCUCUAUUCUACUUCUACAUAUCUACCCACGUGUAUAUGCAGUAUCCUCCGAUGGUUUAGCCCAUGGGCAAUGCAGUUGUCUGCUUCAAUUCUUGGUGUUUCAGAACUAGUAGUACUACUAGAUAUGAUCAGUAUGCUGGGGACAGGACAGUAUGAAUGUACGAUAGAUAAGGUCCUAGAACAUGGGCCACAGGUUAUGCAGAUCGCAGACACGAGUGUUUGGCUGGAACUGAUCUCCGAAUGCGAGACUCCGAGAAACGUUGAUGCCGCUUUCUGUCGAUCACCUUGAGCCAUUGUCCGUCUGCUGGCCUGGCAGGGAAAGUCUACGGAAUGCCAUCUCGAAAGCCAUGGAAAUUCUGUUUUGCCUGACAGAACUCUGGCGUACAUGAGCAACAGCGACCGGAGCGUGGUUUGCCUGCGUGCUUGACUGUAUGGUCACGACGAACACGAGGUGGCGACCAUCCGCCGCGUUAUCCAGGACUGCACCCGUCAGAGAAGGAUCCUUCACUUUUUGGGAAUCCAAUCACUUCGGGAUCCAUCAGAGCAGAAGACACGGCCAUUUCGCCGGCGGCUUUCCCCAUACAGUGCACAUCUCGUGAACUUCCGUCCAUAUUUUCUGGCCAAAUUUGCAAAGGAUUUGUGCUUUUCAGAGUGCAGCAAACGUAGCAAUACCAGGAAACUACGGAGUAGAAUAGGAAGGAACGUACGCCUGUUUGUUCGGGCGGCAAAGUCAGAGCGACACUCUCUCUACUUUGUUUGUUCGUCAGGCCAGGACGCCCGCCAAACCCGACAUGGAUAACUCCAUUAUUGACGAUGGAAAGUAGAAAUCUGACCCCGGGGGCACUAGCAGACGACACUAUCCACAUUGUCUUCACACACCGAGAAUAUGACAAAAUAACAUGCAUUCUUAAUUCACCUAUCGUCCCCAGUACACACCAUCAGAAAACAUCUUCGAUCUUCUAAGGCGUGGAUGCAUUAGGGGUGCGUAUAAAAAUAAUCAUACUCCUUCCGAUACAUAAAAAGUUUCCCACAUUUAGUACAAAAUAUGUACUCCCUCCGUCGAACAAAGGAUGUUUCAACUUUGAUUAAAUUUGAAUGCAUCUAUACACUAAGUCAUGUCUAGAUACAUUUAAAUUUUGACAAACUUGAGACAUCUUUUGUUGGACGGAGGGAGUACUAAUUUUAGUACAAAAUGUGUGACACUUUUUAUGAAUGGGGGGAGUAUCUCCUAGACUCUUUUGAUUCAAAUGAGUUAAUCCUUCAGAAUUUUUUCUAUGUAGGCUUAUUUCAUUCGUAGGAUUAGAUUUUAGUGGAAAUUUGCCUAUGGUUCACUUUGCACUGCAGUGAUGCAAACCAGAUUCCGCGAAAACCCACUUCUAGUUCAUUUUUCAAAUCUUCAAUUCAAAUUUUGAGCAAAAAUUUGGAUAAAAGACUUGAGAAUUGAACUAAAAGUUGACCAUCAAUGGGAUCCCGUUUGCAUCUCUACUGCUCUCAAUUCCAAAGUAAAUUUUCCAUCUAAAUCUAAUCACUUGAAAAAAUUCCUUUGUUUCCAUGAUAACUAUACCAAUGCACGUAAUGUUUUUCUCUGUUUUUCCUCUAAUGCUAGAUUGAGUCUGUUUUUCCUUUAAUGUUUUUCCAACUCGAUUAGUUUAUUCAGGUGGUUUCUUCCUGUAGAAAACAACAUAUCAUGACAUUUCAAUCUUGUGUUUGCUAUUUCAGGGCUCAUUCACUCUACAUGCGUUUUAGAUGAUUUUUCUACAAGAUUUCAACUCUUACACCUUGUUUGGCACAUGUGGGUUUCUUACGUUUUCUAUUUCUACUCUACAAUCUUAAAAUCAUGUUCUCCUUCUGACCUUUGUUCUCAAAUUUAUCUAAAUACGGAUGUAUCUAUGUUUAAAAAAUGUCUAUAUAUAUUUAUAAUAUUUCAGUAACUAAUAUGAAUCGGAGCAACUAACUCGAACGAGCCCUCGGUGUUUGAAUAUUUAAAUACUCCUGAAUGCAAGUAUAGUUCUGCACUCCUACUGCAGCUUGCUACCACGAAACUAAACAUUUCUCUUUCUGCAGCCCCCGACUCGAUCUAGCCGCAGUCCAUGUCGUUCUUUUCGCCCUGGCGUGUGCAAGAGUCGAACCCAUAGUGUGAACAAUUGAGUUAGGCACGAGCCGGAGAGGAGGAGAAAGGACAAAUUAUUGCUCAGAUUAAUCAUCACCUCGAUCGUUGCGGCGCAAUACCGUUAUAUAACGACGGAAUACGGGCCCACACGUCAGUGUAAAGCGAGCUGCUUGCCGCUUUCUCCCUCUUGCGUGACGCCGUCGCCGUCCAGAGCCAUCUGGCCACCGGGCUCCCAGCCCCCCACAGAUGUGCCCCCUGCAUGCGCGCCAUGUAUCAGCCUCUGAUACGUCAGGCCAGGAACCAUCCUCAGCCGUCAGUUCGUCCAUCUCGACGGCUGCGAUCGCGCUGCCGCCACUUAUAAAUAGCACCGAUGCACGCGCGAGAAAGUCCGUUUUACCUUGCUGGGGGGGGGGGGUUUUACUUACAUGAGCGCGGGAAUGGAGGCGGAGCUGGAGGCGGCUCAGCGGCGCUUCCGGCUCUGGUUCCGCGGGCUGCGUUCCCUGCGGCGGGACCUCCGGUCGGCCCGCUGGGCCGGCGACGACCCGGCCCAGCUGGGGAAGCUGGCGGGCGGCUUCGUGGCCCACUUCUCCGACUACUGCGCCGCGCGGGCCGAGCUGGACCCGGUCCUGCUGCUGUCGGCGCCCUGGGCGAGCCCCGCGGAGCGUGGCGCCGCCUACUGGCUGGCCGGGUGGCGGCCGACCACGGUGGUCCACCUGCUGUACACCGAGUCCAGCCGCCGGUUCGAGGCGCAGCUCCCUGACCUGCUCCUGGGCGUGCGGUCGGGCAACCUGGGCGACCUCAGCCCGGCCCAGCUGGCCCAGAUCGACGAGCUCCAGCGCCGCGCCGUCGCCGAGGAAGACGCGCUCUCAAGGGAGAUGGCGCGGCUGCAGGAGGGCCACGGCGUCGUUGGCGGAGACGGGGAUCUGGACGUGGAGGGGAUCGUGAGGCGCGCCGGGGCCGUGGUGGCAGGGGCCGACGCGCUGCGGCUGCGCACCUUGAAGCGCGCCGUGGAGAUCCUCGAGCCGGCGCAGGCCGCCGAGCUGCUCGUCGCCAUGGCCGACAUGGAGAUCGGCUUCCGGGAGUUCGGGCUAAAGCACGGCGACGGCGGUGGCGAGCCGAGCCGCGGCGCGUAGGCAUAGGCGUGGCGCGGUCCAGAGAGCAGAUCCUCAUCCGCAUCGGCGGCUCGGCCCAGUUUUUUUCUUCCAAGUGUUUGCGCUGGUUUGACUGGGACAGAAAGACUGCUCACUGUUGUAAUCUUGUUGCCGUGACGAUUGUCUUUGCCGAACUGUCUCGCGGUGGGUGCUGCGUCGUAGCUGGACCGUGUGCGUGUGCGUGUGCGUGCGCGUGCGCCUGCUGGGAUGUCGUGUGAGAAAGCAAUAAAAUGCAAGGAAUGCAUGCUUGGUUUCGUUGAGAAGUCAUAUUUUGUUUUCGAGCAAGCGGUUUUUUUAACAUCUUUUCCGAUAAAUUGGCUGUUUGUCUGUUCACUACAGAAGACCCGUCCUUUUAAAAACGGUUUUGCUAUUAAUAAAUCCAUGUUUUAGUUAGAGUAGUCAUAGGAUUUUAAUCCAAUGAUAGCAAGUGAGAGAUGAGAGAACGAGGAUGACUCUCAGAUCUCCAGCAGUUAUGAAACGUCGACUGAUAUUUAAGGUUCAUUUUUUAAAAACUUGCGACUUAGAAAUAGCCAUACCCAUUUAAAAAACGUGUUAAAUCUUAUUAAAAUAAGAUUCUGAUCGAUAACUUAUUUUUAAUAGGUAUUGCUACGGAAAAGUUGUUUUUCUAGUUAAAGAUAAGUUGAAACACCAACUGUCAUAUCUUGAUCCAACGGCGGCACAUUGAAGAUGGGGUGUAGCUGCUAGCUUCGGCAUUGAAGAUGGCGUCAUGGUAGGGAGAAGCUAUCAAGUUAUCCGAGAUAGAGGAGGCACUGAUGGAACACAUCCGCUUGCUAGGCUUGUAAUCGGACAAAUAAUUCAAACAGCUUUGCUAUUCAUAAGACAAUUGAGAAAUAAUUAUUUUCAAGCCGACGCUAACAAUCGUUUAAUCCAAUCUCUGAUAUGUGUGAGAUCUAUACAAGUGUUGUUGACUGAAAAUAACUGCUUCCUCCGCGCCUGGAUACUCGUCGUGGUCCGGAAAUCCAACCAGUUGUUCGUUCGAGCCAGAUCCAAACGACACCGGACAGACAACCACGGGCGGUUCUACCGUGCCGCACGGUCACGCGCCCAAUUAACCGGCCACACGGCCAAGCGAAUCCAGGAUUAAAAAUAGGAAUCGCGUACAAUUACCGGCCACCCAGCCAGGCAGCCCGCAACGAUAAACCAGCAGUCUCCCGCUCCAUGUUUGGGAGCCAUGCCCAACUACAAACCCAACGUUUCCAAGCUGGCCGCCGCGCCCCGCGACAUCCACACGGCAGAUUAACCCUUCUUCUCCUUUCCUUCCUUCCUCCCUCUCCGCGCGCGCGCGACCUCCCGCAGACCCGCCUCCGCGAAUCUAGCCACCCCCGCGCGUGCGCCACGCACCGUCCGUCCGUCGGACCUCGGCCGGGCCGGCCCGCGGUCGUCGGCGCGCGGAGGGCGUUCGUGAGAAUGCGUGCGGCGGCGAUUGGUUGCUAGCUAGCUAGCGGCAUGCCUGGCAUGAGCGCGUGAUGGCGCCGCCGUUCCUGAAGACCGGGCACGGCCGCGACAGGUUCUCCUUCAGGCGGCGGAAAUCGUCCUCCUCCUCGUCCUCCUCGUCGACGCCGUCUUCUCCGCUCUCGGUGUCGUCCACAGCGUCGGAGGACAUCGCCGACCCGGGCAGCCCCAUGGAGUCGUCAGCGACGACGGGCAAGACGCUGCCCUGCGCCCGGCGGGCGCUCUCGCGGAGCAGCUGCGGGUCCAGGGGCAAGCUGUCCGUCGACCUGAUCCCGCCGCCGCUCGCCGGCGGCCCGUCCGACGCGCCCAGGUCCUCCACCUCCGCCGCGCCGCCCCCCAAGCCUCCCCCCCGCAACGAGGGCCCGCCUUCAGGUCUCACCAUUGUUAAUUUUCUAGUGUCUGUCUGACUUUCUGUCGUCAAAUGCAGAGAAAUGCCUUGUUAUGUUUUCGUGAUCGAUUGCAUGUAUCCAGAUGCUGACAUCGUGAGGGACAAGUUCUCCAAGCUGCUGCUGGGGGAGGACAUGUCCGGCACCGGCAAAGGGGUGUCCUCUGCCCUCGCUCUCUCCAACGCCAUCACCAAUCUUGCAGGUAAUCUCUCCCUUACCUUCCAUUUCCGAUCUUUCCAUUUCCAAUAACAGUCCCUGUCUUUCAAAUCUUCCCAUUCUGUCCGUUGGGUUCUGAUGGAUACUGACACGAUCAGCUAUGAUUUCUUUCUCAUGACGUGGCACAUUGCAGCUUCCGUGUUCGGUGAGCAGCGGCGUCUCCAGCCGAUGGCCGCAGAGCCGAAGGCCCGAUGGACAAAAGAAAUUGACUGGCUUCUGUCCGUUGCCGACCACAUCGUCGAAUUCGUUCCUUCACGUCAGGUGUCCGAGGAUGGCUCCACCAUGGAGGUCAGAAACAAGAGGAUCCUUGCUUAUCACAAGUACCUGGAUGUAGUUCUGUAUCACGGAACAUCUUUAUGCAAAUCCAAUUACAGCGGUGCUAUUUUUCUCUCUCUCCCCCCAAACAGAUAAUGAUGACUCAGCAGCGUAAGGAUCUGCAGAUGAACAUCCCCGCACUGCGCAAGCUCGACGGGAUGCUCCUUGUAAAGCUCUGCCACAUUCUUCUUUGAAAUCAUUUACGAGAAUGACAUGCGUGGAGAUACCUGAUGAAUUGCUAAUAUGCUAUGGCUGCACAUUUCCUGUUGUGGGGGCACAGAGCUAUCUUGACAGCUUCAGGGACAAGCAGGAGUUUUGGUACGUGUCGAAAGACGCAGAUGACUCGGAGAAGGGAGACGCGCCGAAGCAGGAUGACAAGUGGUGGCUCCCGACUGUCAGGGUCCCUCCUAAUGGUCUGUCGGACUCGUCGAGGAGGUGGCUUCUACACCAGAGGGAGCUCGUCGGCCAAGUCCAUAAGGCAACAAUGGCCAUCAAUGCUAAUGUUCUUAUGGAGAUGGAUGUUCCAGAAGCCUAUAUGGAGUCUCUGCCUAAGGUGACCCAUAUGAACACAGCAACAUUGCAUAACAUUUUUCUUUACUUCGGUUCACUGCAUUUAGAGGGAUCGAGACUCACUUUGACAGCAUCUUCUUUUUUUAUGCUUGAUAGAAUGGAAAGUCUAGCCUUGGAGACUCAAUGUACAAGCUUAUAACUGACGAAUAUUUUGACCCAGAAGAACUCAUAGCAUCAGUAGACUUGUCAGCCGAGUACAGCAUCGUUGAUCUGAAGAACCGAAUCGAAGCCUCGAUUGUCAUUUGGCAGAAGAAAAUGACGCAGAAGGAUGCCAAGAUGUGGGGGCAUGGUGUCAGUCAUGAGAAGCGGGGACGGUUUGAGGGGAGGGCGGAGAAUGUUCUUCUCCUCCUUAAGCACAGAUUCCCCGGAAUUUCUCAGUCAGCUCUGGACAUAAGCAAAAUCCAGUACAACAGGGUACUGGCAACCAUCUUCAAUUUUCCACUGUAUUUUCGGAUUUCCUACAGUACUUUAUUACUCAUGCUCAUUGCAUACAUUUUCUCGUUGUGAUUUUUUUGCAGGAUGUUGGCAGUGCCAUUUUGGAGAGCUACUCCAGGACUCUUGAGAGUCUAGCAUACACGGUUAUGUCUCGCAUCGAAGACGUUCUUCGCGCCGACUCCCUUGCUCAAGACCCCAAGAACGCGGAGGCGACGAGAAUGCCGAGCUUAUCAUCAGAUGACACAGACACGGUCGUCCAAGAUGCCAAGGACGAGGUGGAGAGGCUGGGAAGAAUGGAGCCUCUGAACUCGACACUAUUCGACUACGUGGGCCCACGGGACGGAGAUAUCGGGCCCAUGAUGUCGGAUUCACAGGAACCUCGGGGUGCAAAGCUGUCAAAGGUUUCGUCGAUCGCAACCAAGAGGUUCUCCUACCUAGAUAAGCUUGAGAAUUUGGGUGGAACAAGGAGCCCCAUAUCUAGACACUAGUCGCUGCCGUAGGGGAAAAGACGAUCAAUAUGGUGUUGAUGUUGCUGCAGAGACUCCGGGGAAAACUGCACGUAAAUAGCUCCGCAAAAACUGAGGGUGCAGCAUGCAUUGUGAGGUUUAUGUAAGCUUUCAAGCUUUCAGGCACCAAUACCUCCAAUUUGGUGCAGUUGCCAAGACAAUGUGAUGACGAUUCUCCUGCUAAAUUUACAUGAAAUAACCACAAGAUUCUGACACUGGACCUGAAAAUGGACCUCCAGAUUUUCUUACUGUACUUCUGUAGCAAAGUUUUGUGGUUCCAGUAAAGUGUUUGUUAUCUUAGACUUGACUUGCAGACCAUGCUUGGGUUCGGCUAGUGUUCUCCCCACGUACAAUUUAAGAGGGUAAUAACAUAUCACUGAACUUGGAGAUCGAUCUGUGUUAGCUUCUGGCGUUCUAGAUCGGCACUGUAAUAAGUAACUGUAACUGUACCAUGGCUCUAUGCAUUGGGAAAUUAAAACCACUCGUAUGAGUAAAUCAAUUUACAGGAACAAAUGAGCAGUAAAAAGCAUCCUUCCGGUUGCUGAUAGUACGUGCAGCUAGGCACGCCAUAUGAGUACAUACAACGAAGGACUUAACGUCCAGAUACGCAGAUCCAUGGUACACAAGCACAGGCAUAUGCAGGAACAGAUUCAGAGAGAGAGAGAGAGAGAAAGAAACUGAAACCAAAGCUUUAAUCAAAUCAGAUCAGAUCUUGCCGCGUGGGCCGGGGGUGGGGGGAAGCUGCGGCCCCUUCUUGAUGGGCAGCAGGUCCGGCGACGUGGUGGCGCCGAGGUAGGCGAUCAGGGACCCGCCGCCGAGGAGCAGGAACUUGAGCAGCAGGCCGCGCUUGGUGAAUGGCGCCGCGAAGGUCUGGAAGAACUUGCUCUGCAGCCCGUUGUAAGGGGACGGCGCGUCGGACCCGUACAGGUCCCACUGCCCCGUCGUGUUGCCGAUGUCGUCCAGGUCGAAGUACACGCUCUUCUCCCCGUACUUCGCCUGCACCGCGACGCCUCGUGCAGGCCUGCAGGCGUACGCGCACGCGUAUAUAUACGGUUAUUUAUACGUAUGUACAUACGCUCGAUCGAUGACAUAUUAGCUCGCUUCACGUGCGUACCUGCGGGUGGAGCGGCAGAGGGAGGACGGCCGGGCGGUGGCGGCGAGCUUGCGGCCGGACAUGGAACUGCCGGCCAGGCCCUUCACGGCGGCCGACGGCUGGACGGCGACGAGCGACACCAUUGUUGUAACAGUGGGAUGUGUUCUGAGCUUCUUUUUCUUUUUUUUUUUGCUGCGGGUUACGUGCGCGAACUUGAUCCAGUGCUGGGGAUAUUUGGAAGGUGUGCUGCUGCGGGGCUGAUCAGGUUUGGGUGGGAGAGGCUUGGCGGGGAUGGGCGAGGCCCCCAUUGGGAGCGCGCCACGCGGCAGGGUUCCGGAUAGGCUUAUCCUGAUCGCUUGAUUCUUGGGAGGGAUGACAUGGCGCGGCCAACGUGGCACCGGAGCUUGCGUGGGGUUGUCCAGCUGGGAACGGGCGUCGGAAAAGAUCUCACCAGAUGUCCCCGACGGCAUCGAUCGAUCGAUCACGGUCUCACUGAGAUAUGGUGGGCCGGUGGGCCCAGAAGCCCUCUAGCUAGGUGCUAGGACAGUGCACGUAACGUACUCCGUAUUGAUCAUUGAAGGAAAGUAAAGAGAGAUAGGUAGAGAAGGACGUCCACGUACUCCGUUGCAUUUUGCAAAUGUUGCACGUACGUACGUAUCAGCACCAGGAUACAUAUGCAACGUGGGCAGGCAGAGUACGUAUAUUGUAGUGUAACGUAUUGCUAGUCGAUCUUAAGCACCUUCCGCUUGGCCGGGGAUACUAAUUAACCGGUAAAUACGGCGGAAGGGAUGUGUACAGGCGCGAUAUAUACAGUGGAUCCAGAUCUGAGAUCGAUCUAGCUGAGCCUUGCGUACGUGCUAUAUACACAUCCUCAUCCGCGAUGGGCAAGCGCAUGCAUGCAGGGUACGCUUCUACGACAAUGGAGCAGCAAAGGAAUUGACGCUACGCUACGUACAGCGAAUCGAUCAUGCACGGAUUUGCGAAUCGAUAUCUUCACGAUGCAUGGCCACAGGCAGGAUGGCGCACAAGUGUGCUGGGAGCGAGAAGACGCGACUAAAAAAAUAUGUGAAUGCGAUGAGCCGGGCCAGGCUGCCAGCUUUAAGCCCAGAUCCAGAGCGACAAGCAAGCCGUUGUUGCACGCCCAACACUACCAACAUGGACCCGCUUUUUUUCGGCGGGCCUGAAUCCACCGUCUAUACUGAUGCCCUCUGGCCCAAACGAGAAAAGAAAUACCAUACAGUACGGCCGUUUGUUUUUUGUGGGUAUACUGUACACAGGUUGGCGCGGCUAACGAAGAUGCGAGGGCACAGGGAGGCGCACCUUCCUCGGUUCAGUUCAGUUCAGUUCAGGCCGAGAUCCACCGAUCCGCGCGCGCACAGCGCACCGGUGAGAAAGCCAGCACCGACGACGCGGCGCCCCCACGCCACCAGCCAGCCACCGGCCAAACGCACUAACCAAAACCUCGCCGUCGUCGUGCGCUCCCGCCGAACCCCACCCUAGUUCUCUCCCUACUACAUCUCCACGGCGGGAGCUUUGCGCAGCUCUCCCCCGCUCCCCGUGCCACACUCGCUCCUGCACCUCCCGCUCCCCGUCUCCCUUCCCGGCCUGGGGCGUCGGUCCCCAAUUCGGGUCGGGGGGCGCCGAGGUCGCGAGGCGGAUCAGGAUCUGAUCCCGCGCGGCCGGAGCGGGAGCGGUGGGUCGGUCGAUUGGGCGGCGCCGGGAUCAGAUCUAUGCGCGAGAUCUAGCCGGGCGUGCGGGCGGCUGCUGGUGAUCGGAGCCGGACCCGGAGGGGAGUGAGGGAUGGCGUGGUGGUCGGGGAAGGUGUCGCUGGGCGGGCUGCAGGACAUCGCCGGCGCCGUGAACAAGAUCAGCGAGAGCGUGAAGAACAUCGAGAAGAACUUCGACAGCGCGCUCGGCCUCGAGGAGAAGCGCGACGACGAGGAAGGUAUGCGCCACUCAUGCUAAAGCCGCCCCCCCCCGACCCGACCCCUUUCCUCCCGUGUAGCCGCCUAGCCGGGCAGCAUUGGUGCAUGCUUGGCUGCGUGCAAGUGUCGAUUGGGAACUGCGAUGGGAUUUUUUUGGUUGAAUACUGCACUGGGUCAUGGGAUUGUCACUGGCGGUAAUGCUGUUUGUAGCGUUGUUCAUGCGAUGAUUGGUUAGUUAGCUAUCGAUAGUGUAUACUGACUGAUGUGAUUGUAGGAAGCAGAAGUUUGAAUUCAGGUCAUCGCUGGUUCCAUUGCUCUCGCAGCUUCUUAUGUAGAUAGAUUAUUGCUUAAGUCUCGGACUCUGUAAAUUGGUCAAGCAAAACCCCAGUCCCUAAGUUUCGUAUUUAUCAGCUGCUGCAUUAUUGAUCAUUGAUUGGUCUAGCCAGAUCAUAAAAACUUAUACAUACUUCUUAGUAGCGUUGGCAUUACAACAGAUUUUGUAUUGCUCUUUCCUUUUGAGAAGUAAUGGAACUUGGAGGCAGUGAAUUCAUGCCUAUUCUCAUAACUUUUUUCCAAUAGUUUUUGUUCUGAGUAGCAUCGCUAGGAUGAGCAUAUUUGGAGAAUAUAUAGCUUCUAAUUGUUCAUUUACAUGGCUAACGUGAGACCCAAAAAAUGUGUUUUUGGGUGAUCCAGGAUCAGGAUCACGUACAUCCAACUCUGAUGGAAUAGGAUUCUUUAAUCCUGUCAUGGCAUUUAUGGGACAAAAUGGUGAGGAGAACUCUACGGAAGUAUCAGAAAAGCAACAAUUGCCAAUACAUUCGUCAGCAGAAGAAGAAAAUCAUAGGGUCACCACCGAGCCAGCUACAUCUGAAGCAGAUGCUUCUGAAGUAUCAGUAACAACCCAAUCUCCAAAGCAGCUUCCAAAAUUAGAAGAGAAUGUCAGCAGCUCCACUGAGCUACCUGUAUCUAAGGUGGAUGUUCCUGACCAAUCUGUAACACCGCAAGCUCCAACACAUCCUUCAGCAUUAGAAGAAAAUAAUGGUGGCUCCACUGAGUCACCUACAUCUAAGGGGGCAACUUCUGAAGUAUCAGAGACACCGCAGUCCCCGAUACAUCCAUCUAUAGCCGAAGAAAAUUCUAGUGGCUCCAUUGAAACUAGUAACUCAGUUGAGAGGGAAAAUCAGGGUCACGAAGGUAAUGAAUAUUCUGAUCCCAAUGACGAAGCUUUACCGAGCCAGCUUGGAGUGUCCGGCAGGGACAUACCUGGUGGUGGAACAUCUUCACCUAAUAAAUUAGAUCAAUCAAGUGUUAUUGGAGCAGAAGAAUCUAUUCAUGAUGGAAAGGAUGACACAAAUGGUAACCAGUCACAGCCAGCAGAUUCCACGGUAGCCAGUUCAGAUGAUGUAAAUGAAGGCAAUAAGAUUGGUCAAGAAUUUGAUGCCCAAAAGGAAAUAAUCAGCCCACAUGAGAGCAAUGUUAUCGAUGACAAAGCCAGUCAUGUGGAAGUCAAGUUACAUGACGACGCUGCUGAGAAUGAAGAAGAAAACAGUCAAACAGAAGCACAUGCAGUAUCUGUUGUUGAAAAUGUGGAUAAUACAGUGUUGCAACUUGAAAACCCUACCUCAAAGUCGAUAACUAUGGAUGAUGAUUCAGACUCGCAAAAUGAGUUAGCACCCGCUUCUGUACAUGUUCCUGUUGGUCUUGUAGAAGUUGGUUCUCAUGCAAAUGAUUUGAGAAAAGAAGAAAAGAUUCAUGACUCUGUAACAACCAUAAAUUCUCGAGAAUCUGUUGGUUCUGUUGUUGAACUAGAGAAACUAAGACGUGAAAUGAAGAUGAUGGAUGCUGCAUUGCAAGGUGCUGCAAGGCAGUCCCAGGUAUCAUUUCCAAAAUCCACAUGCUCUAGCAUCUACUGUAGCAAUUAAGUUAGUAACAUGUUUGGUUGAGGAACUAGACAGUGAGUAUAUCAUCCGAUUCUAGCCCACUUGUUUGGGUUGAGGAAUAGACUCGGUUAGUCCAACACCACUUCAUCCUUCAUAUGCAUGAGAUUGGCACUAAUGGGAAUUGAGUCAUCCCACCAAUUUGAUUGAUCAUCCCAUGUUGAGGCAACUCAUCUUGGAUUGAGGCAAUCCCUCGAACUAAAUACCCCCUUGAUGCAUGUGUGGUUGAACUUGUACAUUAUGAAAGUUACUCCUGGAUGAUUCAACUUGGAAGCAAACCUUUAGUGCAAUCUGUUUGAACCAAUGAGUGCUUGCUAAAUUGUCUGUAUAUGUACCUUUUUAUUCAGUCUGAAUCUAGUUUACCCGUGAUGUGGAUUCAUCUCAUAUUUUCCUUUUUUUGGGGUGUCAUGCUUUACGGAAAAAAACAUAAAAUAUGUACAGUUAUCUAAUAUUUCAAAGUGCUUUGUAGUGUCAGAAAGGAGCAUAUCAUGCAAUUAUCUUUCUUCUUUUCUGAGUAUUAUAUUCUGAUGCACCGAGCCGGUCAUGAGGUAUUAUGUGCUUCAGAUGCGUUCUUAACAAUGAUCGUCAAAACAUUGUAUAAUUUGAAUGGCCUAUGGCCCCAUGUUAGUCAUUUCUUUGCAACAUACAUGACCCUUCACCACCUAUUUAGGUUCUAACAACACUUUAUUUUUCCUACAGUCCAAAGCUGAUGAAAUUGCUAGACUGAUGAAUGAAAAUGAGCAAUUGAAAUCAGCAAUUGAUGAGCUCAAGGUAUGUUUGCUAAGCAGAUUCCUUAUCUUUUGCCUUCUGGACAUAAACAUUUGGGAUGUCUUUCAGUUAAUUAACAAAAAAAGGAUGCCUUCGGUUUAGUAAUCACCACAAUUUUGAGUUGAAUUAUGUGAAAAUAAACAAGAUAAAUACUGAGUUGCUUGGCAGCUCCUUUAGCCUUUGAUGAGUGUUAUAAUAAAUUUUUUUACUGUACAGGGUAAGUCAGCUGAAGAAGAAAUGGAUGCUCUCAAGGAUGAAUAUCACCAAAGAGUAGCAACUCUUGAAAGGAAGGUGAGACACAUUACUUUUGUUACUCAGUGCUACUAUUGACAGUUGAUCAUUGCGUAUUGCAUACGGCAACCUGAUUUAGGACUAAUAAUCAUGGAGAACAGAUAGAUACAAGUGCGCUAAAUGCCGCUAAGACCAGAGGGUUGAUAAACAAUAUACGAUAUUACUCACAUACAAUAUUGUAAUUACUAAUUACAAUCUUCAUGCUUUUUGUGCGGUGGUAGGCCUGGUAAUGGGGCUAAGCCCGCACCGAAUCCAAACCACACCAUAACAUCUCACGUGUAUUUCCCAAUCGCAACCAAACCAGAAGUGAAAUUAGAAAACCCAAACCACACCGCACCGUACGACUUCUCCAUCCAAUCCGCACCAAACCAAUUCAGAAACCGCAGGCUCCGGCACCACGGUCAGGCUUCGAUGGAGAUAGGCGGAGGGAGGCAGAAGCGGGGAGAUUGAAGGGCGACCGGUGGCGGAGGGUGUUGGACCUUGGGGACACUGGCGACGUGCAGAUCGGGAGGAAAAUGAUGUUGGGGAGCAGAUUGGGAGGAAGACGAUGUGGGGGAGCCGGUUACAGUUUACGAAGAAGAGGAGGCAGGGGGCGCCGGCGGCGGAGCGCCGGAUCAGGCAAGGGCGGCUGGCGGUGGAACGCCGGAGCAGGCAGGCGACGACAUCGGGAGGAAAACGAUGUGGGGGAGCCGGUGACAGUUGACAAGGAGGAGGAGACAGGGGGCACCGGCGACGGAGCGCCGGAUUAGGCAAGGGCGUCUGGCGGCGGAACGCCGAAGCUGGCAGGUGGCGGCGAGCGCAACCCCGUCACCAUCACAAGGGGAAGUUGAGGCCGUGCCAUCAUGGUCUUUGUUAUUCCAAGUGGUGUUCAUGGGCUGAAACCAAGGUUGGAGACCACGGUCUGAGCCCAAUUCAGUUCUAGACCGGUCCAAACCAAACCGCACCAGUCCAAACCGCAUUUGUACUAAUACCAAACCAGCCCAGACCGAUUUUCUAUCCCAUCCAUUUGAAACCGCACUGUUUGAACCCGCAUGCAAAACCCGCACCAAAAAAACCGAACGAACCUGCACCAUUACCAGGCCUAUGCAGUGGCUCUAUUUUGUUAUUCUUUUUUUUUGCAUUCUUUGUUUUAAUGGUAAAAUAAUCAAAGAUUCUCUUCUGUGCUUUAAACUUUGAACUUUAUGUUAAUGGUAAAAUCAUGGUAAAAUAAUCAAGCUAUUUAGCUACACUUUGAACUUCUUUUUCCUGCAAUUCUUCUAUUGUUGAACCCUUUGACUAGCUGGGGCGCAAUUACAUUUAUUGCACUAUGGUUAAUUUUGUUUUUCUCUUAAUUCAGUUCAUCAAGAAAUUGAGUUGAUAUUUAAUACUAAAGUUGUGUUUAGAGUGAGGCAAUGAGCUGCAUUAGUAAGGUUCCUUAGAAUGCUAUUGUCAGAAUCUCAUAAUCCUCUAUGUCAUUUUUUGUCCCUUCCGGGUUCAUAACUUAUAUUGCCAGUGUCCUUGUUCAUAUAUACAAUUAAUCUUGUGCAUAGCACUGAAAUGUUUGUAAUGUGCAUGCCUCAAUGUGUGUAGGUUUAUGCACUAACCAAAGAACGAGACACAUUGAGGAGAGAGCAAAAUAAGAAAAGUGACGCGGCUGCUCUUUUGAAAGAGAAGGACGAAAUUAUCAGUCAGGUUAUGGCUGAAGGUAUGCAUAAUUGUGAUUUUUAUGCUUACUGAACAUAUUUUAACUAAUGUUAAGUCAAAAUAUGUUCUGUUGUAUUGUUGAAAACAAUAUGAAAUUGCCUUUUCUAUUAUUUAAAGACAUCCAGUGAACAUUCCAAAUAUUAAUGUUACCAUACGUUAUGUUGCACCGUGUCGAGCACCCUUUAUUGAUUAGAGUCAUUUCAAUCGUGACUUCAAUGAUCAUGCAUGAAUAUGUACAUAUUAGUAAGAUUAGAAAAAUAUGUAAUUGCCUCCAGAACAUGGAUAUAAGACCAUAAAAAUGACAUCACAAACUUUUAAACCACCUAUCACUUCUGUAUGGGCCUGUACUCUGCAGUUUAUCGUGUGAUAUUUGGAAGUUUUGUGUCUUUAAGCUAGCCUUGGUUGAGUGCCUUACUGCUUUGGUUGGAGCUGAAGUCCUUGGCUCUCUGCUGUAAGGCUCUGAUCUGGCUACCAAUGGUAGUUGUAGAUAACUAGGUAUUAGGCAUGCACAUUUUCUUUGUGAAAAGGGCCUAAUGCCCUAAUGUGUAAGUUUGCCGUUAUUCCUCCAUCCGCUGCUUUAGACCAUGUACAUACUAUAGCCCCCCAUGUGAUCAUGUUCACCUUUUUAGUAUGUUCUGGACCAUGAUUGGCAAUGACACUAACAUCUUGUUUUUACCAAUGGAACAGGCGAAGAGCUAUCCCGAAAACAAGCUGCUCAAGAAGCUACUAUACGGAAACUGAGGACGCAGGCAUGGGAUAUGACUCUAUAACCAUACUACUUCAUCAAAAUUAUAAAGUAGGUUUUACCAAAGUAAUCAAGUUUGCUUUCUUUUUUUUGGUUGAAGCUAGGUUCGUGAGCUUGAAGAAGAAAAACAGCGGAUGAACUCAAAGAUCCAGGUAAAAAGGAAAAUCAACUUUGUUUUAUUAAUGAAUGAAUAAAUAAAUUAAUUGACCCCAACUAAAUUAUUUUCUUAUCUGCUUUAAUAUCAUAAAGUAUUUUUCUUUGCUGUUUGCAUGAUUAAAAAAAUCAUUUCUGAAGCUAUUUUUUAUUGUUUGUUUAUUCCUAUUUGUUUUGUUCCAUUUGAACAGUAGUUUGCAUCACCCGUACAGCUUGUUUACAGUUUCAUGAGUUCGUUACAGUCAGACAUGCUUUUUUCUUUCUUACUUGGUUGAUGGGCAACUCUGAAAUAUUGCACUCAGAGAUUAUGGAGUUGAUCUUCAUCCUUUUUGUUUGCUCUCAGGCUUCAAGUGCAGUCACUAACUCAGCAAUUUUCUGACUUUACAGGUUGAGGAGACAAAGGUUGAGAGUAUUAAAAGAGACAAGGCAGCAACCGAGAAGUUGCUACAAGAAACAAUAGAAAGAAAUCAAUCUGAACUUGCAGCUCAGAAGGAGUUCUACACAAAUGCUCUUAGUGCAGCAAAAGAGGCUGAGGCAUUAGCUGAAGCAAGAGUCAACACUGAAGCCAAAGUUGAGCUUGAGAGCCGUUUGAGAGAAGCUGGUGAAAAAGAAAACAUGCUGAUUAACACAAUUGAUGAGUUGAGGAAUGCUCUCACCAGACAAGAACAGGAGGUAUGCUAUGAAAAUAUUCGUCUGCACCUGUGCAUCUGUAGUUCAACAUCCUCGGUACAAAUAGUGUGUAUAUUGUGCUGAUCUAACCAUAAUCUACAUUUGACUCCUGGAUAAAAACUUCAUCUGAUAAUUAUUGUUUUAGCUGCCCACUUUCGAUUCACUGAUUGCAAGUAUUUCUUUCGUGGCAUUUCAGGCAGCUUUCAGGGAAGAAAGGCUAAAAAGGGAUCAUGAUGAUCUUCAAAAGCGGUACCAAGUAAGCUCUUCUGUUUUAGCUGCUACUACAGAGUACUGUAGUCAUGGACCAAUUCUCAAUUUCUUUCAUUAUUUAAUACUUCAGGCCAGUGAACUUCGUUAUAAUGAACUGGUUACACAAGUUCCUGAGUCGACCAGGCCACUCCUAAGGCAAAUUGAAGCCAUGCAGGUAUGAGUGCUUGCUUUGGAUUUUCCUUGUGCUGUAAUUGUUUCGCUGUUCUUCUGUUAGUUGGUGUAUGCAUCCGAGUCUGUGAAUUGAGUUUUUCUGCUGUUGUAAGUUGGCUAAUCAGUUGUGUUUUAAUUUUAACAGGAGUCAGCUGCUCGAAGGGAAGAAGCUUGGACUGGUGUGGAGAGAACCUUAAACUCUCGCCUUCAGGUCAAUUCUGUUCUGAACUUUUGGUUUAACAGUGAUGUGCAGAAAAACAAUGGAGAAAACUAGAACUACAACAUGGACCUUAAAUUGUUAUAAAUGUGCAAUGAGCAGGGACAGCAGAACAAAAUGGACAUAAACUUUGACAUUAAGUCAUUAAUAACUGUUUUCUUGUAGUUAUUUAUGCCUCUGCAAAUGUACAGAUAAAGAGGAGUGGUUGGGUGCUAUCUAUCUUUAGUGCAGUCGGGCAGUGUCAGGAACACAAACAUAAAUAUUUCACUGACAUAGUUUUAUCUGUCCUACUCAAAUAUGCAGGAAGCAGAAGCAAAAGCUGCUGCCUCGGGAGAAAAGGAGCGGUCCAUAAAUGAGAGAUUGUCACAAAGUUUAUCACGCAUAACUGUUUUGGAGACCCAGGUUUGUGCAAUAAUUUCUUCUAAAAACAAAAACUUGUGACAUUAUUGUAAGUCAACCCGGGUUUUUGGCAACAAUUUGGGGCCUUUAGUAAGAAAAGUAUUUAUUUUGAAAUGAACUUUGUGUCUUGUGCAGAUUACAAUUCUUAGAACAGAGCAGACACAGCUGAGCCGAUCUCUUGAAAAAGAGAGGCAGAGAGCAUCUGAAAGUAGACAGGAGUACCUUGCAAUUAAGGAGGAGGCGGCAAUACAAGAAGGACGCGCCAAGCAACUUGAAGAAGAAAUAAAGGAGCUUAGAGCUAGGCACAAAAAGGAGUUGCAAGAAGCAGCAGAACACAGGGGGCUGCUUGAGACGGUAGUCAAUUUUCUCUGUGAAUCACUUCCUGAAAAGAACUGGAACUACAUGUAUACGGAGCAAUGUUUCUGCUGCCAAUUUCAUUGAUGAGACCUAGAAACACUUUGUUUAACAUAUGACAUAAAAUUUGAACUUUGGAGGCUAUCUUAUAGCAGGCCUAUUUUAGGAUCAACCGGUAUUUGUUUACUUCGUUGCUUUCCCUACGUGAAGAAAAUUAGUUUUAAAUGUCACUAAUCAUGUGCCUGCCAUUAGAUCUUCUAGUUCAUACAUUACCAACUUGGCAACAAUUUAAUGUGUCUAUUAAAUUCUUGCGUCAAUUGCAACUUCUGAAUUUCAGGACCUUGAAAGGGAAAAGGCUGCCAGAGCAGAACUUGAGAAAACAUCUUCCCGGGAGCCACCUAAAAUUCCGCUUCCAGAUCAAACAAGUAUGCUCUUUCUUGGCCUCUGAUUAGUUUCUGUAAGUUCAAUCCAGCUUUUCUUUUUUGUUGCCUUACCUGUGACUCUGUUGGUUUCCUCUUUGCUUUUCUUGAAGGAAAUGCUCCUGUCAGAAGGCUCUCUAGUGCUUUGAGUGUUGGCAGCCUGGAAGAAAGUCAUUUCCUUCAAGCAUCAUUGGACUUAUCAGAUAGUUCAUCAUUGGAGAGGAGAAUGUCAGCAGAAAAUAAUAUGUCAUACUAUCUGAGGAGCAUGACUCCAAGUGCUUUCGAGUCAGCACUCCGUCAAAAGGACGGAGAACUGGCUUCUUACAUGUCACGCUUGGUAUGUAUAUGUGCGGAUGCAUCCUUCUAAUAUUUCUCCUAAACUAUUUUAUUUUAUUUUCUUGCUAUAUAUAUAAAUUUGAUAUUACUUCUGGAAACUGACAUUUGCUGAUUAUUCAAGCUAUUAUUUCAUAAAGUAUAUUGGAGUAGAAAGCUAUUUUUAGCCGAUUUACACCUGAACUUGUGCAUUAUGGAUGUCUAAAAUAUUUCUAGUUAAGUUUAGCACUAGCUUGUGCAUACACACACUAUUUCACACUCCCUUUAAAAAUUGGUGAAACUAUAUCAAGUUGCUGGCAAACCCUGAGCCCAACUGUAUGUUGCCAUAUAGCGUUUUUUUUUGGCUGUUUUCAUGAGGUGCCUGGUUACCUAACUUAUAUCAUUCAGCAUCAUCUAGAAUGUAGUGGGCCAUUUACUCCCUGGACAUUGUAUCAAGCACUCAUCAGUCCCAUACUAGUUUUAAAACCCUACGGGUUAAUUACUACAAAUUCAUGUGUCAUUCUCAUAUAUCCUAAUUUGUGAAGAAGCAGGAGCGGUAGCUUGGAAUAGUUCCACGACUUGUGUUUUCAUAAGAUGUUUUACCUUUACAUGUUUUGCCCACUAGAAUGGCCUACACCAUUUGAAGCCAUCUAUGCUGGCAACGUUUCCGUAUCUGUUUCAUGUUCUAUCAAACAAUCUUCAGUCCCAUACUGGUUUUAAAAGCCUAUGUGUUAGCUACUACAAAUUUGUGUGUCAUUCUCGUAUAUCCUAAUUUCUGAUGAAGUGGAAGCAAUAGCUUGAAAUAGUUCUGUGACUUAUGUUUCCAAAAGGAUGUUUCUUUUAUCAUGACAUCAGGUCACCCUCAAAUGUUCAUCAUUUAGGUUAGGUUUAGGAUAUGAUAUGUUUGUACUACUUGUGCUACAGCCUUGAGAGCAUUGUCGUAGACUCCUUGGGUAUGCAAUUGUUCUAAUACUUCGGCCUUCAUGCUUUAGUACGCUAAUCUCUCUUGCAAUUGGCACUGAAUAAAUGUCACUUUUAUAUUACAGGCCUCAUUAGAAUCUAUUCGGAAUUCUCUGGCGGAGGAGUUGGUGAAACUGACAGAACAAGUAAAUCAUUGUGAACCAACUAGACUAUAAUUUCAUUAUAUAUGCGGGUGCUAAUUGAACUGGUUUCGUAUGCAGUGUGAAAAAUUGCGGACUGAAGCUGCUGCUCUGCCUGGCCUAAGGGCUGAACUGGAAGCACUGAAACAAAGACACUUUCAAGCUCUAGAACUUAUGGGUGAACGUGAUGAAGAGGUAUUUCUCACAUGCAGUGCAUCUCACCAUUACUCUCUGUGUUAUUGACUUGUACCACAAGAUACACCAACAAUAUAUAAUCCGUCAUUAUAUUUAGUCUCAUAUCAUAUGGAAAAGGGAGUCCUCUUCAUGAAUCAAAUUGUGGUAGCGAGCUUACAUAGUGGAAUCCUGUAAUUAACUUCACUAAUUAGUAACCUGGAAUUUCUACACUAAGUAGCUUGUAGUGACUUUUGGUGAUUGCAACCUAGCCCACAAACCCAGCUGUUUCAGUCAUAAAACCUGUAACUCGUCUGGUUUUAGAUUUGAUGUUGUUUUUCAAACUUUGGUUAUUGAAAUGUAAACAUCUAUUCGCUGUAAUUUGUUGAAAAUGAGGGUCUGUAUAGAAAUUGCCAUGGUAAAGGAAAACUAGAGGUGACCUGGUCUCAGUUUACGGGGUGGUUACUGGUUGCUAACCACCGGUUGGAACUGCCAUGAUGGCUGGGACUCUGGUUACAUUUUUAUGCACACUCUGUAGCUGCCGUAUAAGAUGGUCCUGAAAAAUGUUUUAGUAAAUUCAAUUAAUAUGACCUAUUACCAAUACUACUUUCUGUUAACAAUGGAAUGGACCCAUGCAUAAGCUUGACAAUGAACUAGUUGUCUGACAGUUGGCAUAAGCUGCCUAAUUUAACCUGUCCGUAUUAGUGUCUUCUCAAAGGGAUGUGAAUUCAAUGCGACAUUGUGUGUGCACGAUACACUUUCGGAUAUCUUUGUAUUAUUGUUCCGUAGACCCUUACCUUCUAUUUCUUUCAUACUUAUUAUGAAAAAAAAUCUGUGCUGUUUUGCAGUUAGAAGAGUUACGAAAUGAUAUUGUUGACCUAAAGGAUAUGUACAGAGAACAAGUGGAUCUUCUUGUUGGCCAGGUUUGAAGUAUAUUGAUUUAAAUUCUGCUUGUCAUUGCGGAACCCUGAAAUGUGUUGCCCUAAAACAUCAAUUUUCCUUUUAUCAGCUCCAGACAUUGGGCGCUCGUGUAUAGCAGUGAAUUUGACAUCCCAUUUAAUUUUUAAUGCACUGCAUCGACCGAGACCAAGAUAACAAUUUUGAAGCCUGAACAUGUUUCUUCAGAAUUCGAACUGAUGCGAGUGUGGGAAGUUCAUAAUCACACAACGAGUGAAGAUAUUAUUUGUGUACAUUUUGAAGCAUCUUUGUUGUUGAAUUUAGUAGGAUAGUUUGUUGUAUACUAGAUUGAAUAGCUUCACAGUUUUACGUUUACAGAAAUUGCAAAAAAAUAAUUUACUGAAGUGUACCAAAUUUGGAACCUACAAGUGUAUGUCGACGUCUCUAAUAAUAUGGAGAUCCUGUUUUGACAGCUUUGUCAGGUUUUCUGUCACUCUGUAAUCCAGGAUUACUUAGUUUGAUUUUUUGCUAGUUUGGAAAGACUAAAAUAUAUUAGAUUAAGACCGCGUAUUGUGAUGUUGCCGCAAAGAAAUGUAUCCAGCCUGGGGAAAAGCUUCAUUCCCAGGUGCACAAUAAGGGUUGUAAAUGCACAGGAAUAGGAAAAGCACGUGACUACAAUAUCAUGCCCCAAAUUGUAUAGGAUUGUGUUUAUGCCAACUUUUUUUUUAUAUAAGUGUUUACUCAAAAGUUUGUUUGAUUCGAUCAUAGUAAGAAAUUUCCAACAGGUUUGAUCAAUAGAAAAUUUCCUAUGAAAUGUGGUUCAAAGAAAUUCUAAGAAAAAUAUCUAUAAAUUCAAUCCUACAAAUCAAACAACAAAGAUAGCAAAAUUUCCUAAGGACUUGCAUUGAAAUAUUGGAGGAUUGGAAAAGUUCCUAAGGACUUGCAUUGAAAUAUUGGAGGAUUGGAAUACUUAGAUUUUUUUUUUCCGGUGGGUUGUUUGAUUUGAAAGUUGAGUCGGGUGGGAAAUCUUUCUUUAGGGUUCUUUUGCACUGUAUUUUAUAAAAAAAGAAAUCUUUUCAUUCAAACCUUUAGUGAAGAUUCAUUUGUUUUUCCUUGAUUCAAUCAAACACAACAUUGAUGUCACCACAAUCUUGUAUUCAAAUAGGCAUGGCAUUGCAAUCCUAUUUUUCAAAUCCUACGAAUCAAAGAGAACCUAUGGAACUUUACAAGAUUACGAUGUUAACAUAGAUUGGAGUUGCAAUGAAGGAUUUUAUGUGAGAACCUAGCUUUGCUGCGAAUUAAAUCUCAAACACUAGAUUUUACGAGAGAACCCAACUUCGUAGCGGAUCAAAUGUCAAAACGCCGCCAAAGAGACGGUAUGUUUGAUACCACUCAGUCAGAUCCUUCUACGUGUGAUCGACAAUUCACCAGAAGAUACUUUCUUUUGUCCUGAUGUUGUUGCCAGAGCAAUCUGGCUUUGUAAUUAUCCAAUCUUUUGAUAACUCCUCUAGUUUGCUUUGACGAAAGACUGACAUGUGCAAAGAAACACUACUUAUACUGUUAUACAUGCCUCCAAUAGAUUAAAAAAAACUUUUACAGCCUUCCAACUUCUUUUCAACUCUUUCCUCUUUAGGUUCCCAAUGAGAAUUGCUCAGUCUUUUAACGUCCACUGGAAUUCCCUCAUAAGUUAAGGGGAGACUACCCAUGUUAAAAUCGAAAAUUUUACUAGAACAAACACUUCUUUGAGCAAAAUCUCUUACACGGUACAACUCGCUCUUAUGAAAGUUAACUUUCUGACCAUGAACUAGCUCAAAAGCACAUAAAACGAAUUUUAAGUUUUUGUCGUGGACCAGAUCAUCCUUAAAUUGACAAGCCCCCCCCCCCCCCCCUUCUGCUUAAAAAGGGAUAAAAAAAGGGAAACAUGAGUUGUUGAACUGCCAUUCGAGUCCAUGGUUUUUUUUUUCUUUUCUUUUUUCUAGAAUACACCCAAGCAGGUGUAUCAUAUAUUGAAGGAGGAUUCCGCGACGCAUUUACAUGCCCGUAGGCGCCAGUAAAGCGACCAUUCUAUUACAUUCCACAAGGGAUCCACUAGACUAGAAAGCGAAAAAUCUACACUAUGAAAAAGACCCGCGCUCGACCAUGCCCUUCCUUCACUGUUGAUCAUUUGUUGUAUCUUUCUAGCACUCGGAGUUGCUGCAUCGAACACCACCGAGUUCCUGUGCUUCCAGAGGCACCAGCAGAUGAGAGUAAUGCUAGUGUUGAGGUUCCUCUUCUCUUUCUUGCCUUGCACCACAAGGCUCGUCCACCAUUCGGCAAGAGAGGCUUGCGGAGUAGGGAGCCAGCAAAGCCUGUUCCAGCCCCGCAGCGAGGUCGACCACACUUCCCGAGCCACGACGCAACCAAGAAGAAGAUGGUCAAUGGUCUCAUUGCUUUGAUCACACAAAGGACAGCGUGCCGGGUGGGGCAAACCCCGCUUCGAAAGCCUAUCCGCCGUCCAACAACUAUUUUUUAGAGCCAACCACAUGAAUGUCUUGCACUUAGUUGGCGCCUUGGAGGACCAGACCUCAGUAGCCCCCGCAGCAAGCACACGACCCCGGAAGAAAGCCGCGUACGCAGACGAGGCCGUGUAGGUCCCAUUGUCGCUCCAUUUCCAAUGGAAACGAUCAUCAUCGUAUGAAAGAAUCACCUCAGCCACGCGGUCAUGAACCACCAGAAGAUCCACAAGCGCCUGAAAGCAGAGCUCCGGGUGGAUGGCCCGAAGCCAACCAUUGGCAUGCAAAGCCUCGGCCACAGAAAGCCUGGAUGCCCUACGCAAGAUCUCCGAUAGCAGCGUAGGCGCCAAAUCCGCAAGUGAACGCCCCUCCGGUAGCCAAGGAUCAUACCAAAAAUGUAGAGCUUCACCAUUCCCCCUUGCCACCUCAAUCGCCGCCUCACAAAGUGCCCUGGCCUGUUCCGGGAUUUGGAUGUUGAAUUCAGCCCAUGGACGCGUCGGGUCCACAUGACAUAGCCACCCCCAUCGUGUUCUGAGUGCAAGAUUGAGAAGCUUCAGAUUAGGGAUGCCUAAACCACCAAUCUUGCGAGGGGAACUGCCUUUCCACAAGAACACACGACAUAUCUUCUCUAUGCCCGCAAUGGUCUUCAUAGGAAGGUUGAGAGACAUCAUGACAUAGACCGGCGUAGCUGAGAGGGUCGAUCUAACAAGGGUGAGCCAUCCCCCAAGAGUAAGCAUAGGGACGGACCAUGUCUGGAGCUUAUUCGCCACCUUGUCCACCAUAGAUGAAAGUUGAGUUGCCGUUGGCUUCCGAAGCCCGAGAGGUAAGCCCAAUUAGGUACAUGGGAAAGGCCCCACCUCACAACCAAGCGUGCAAGAUCAAUGGUCUUGACAAAGAUAUUUAAAGACUUGUAUUGUGCUACCGAAUUCAUAUUAGCAAACGUGCAAGAUCAAUAUUUGUUUAGUUUUUUUUUGACAACAUAGAUCAAUAUUUGUUUAGACACGAUGAUUGAGCGAGUACAUGCGAUGUAACAGUCGGAAAAGGUUUCACACAAGUUCAUUUGUCAGUGAACAAAUUAUCUGCAUUGCAUUUUUUCAUAACAAUACAUGGACGUCUGUUCCGUUGGGCUCAAAAAGAAUUAAACAAAAAAUAAACGUCGACAGCAGGAUUCGAACCUGCGCAGGCAAAGCCCAACAGAUUUCGAGUCUGUCUCCUUAACCACUCGGACAUAUCGACCCACUUGGUCUUUUAUUCCUCUCAGUAUUUAUAUACAUGACUAUUCUGUUAACAGAUUGAUGAUUUUUUGUCAUUGCUAUAACCAUCUUUUACAAAAUAUUUGAAGCUUGCAGCAGAACAUGUAAACAUUUAUUCCUUUGAGAUGCGGGGUCAUAAUUUCUGCAAAAAAAAAACUCUGUACCCUUUUCGCAAGAAAAGAAGGAGAGCUAUCACCUGAGUACUCCGUAUUUAGCAUUCUUUAAUUUACAUACUAGUGCUCUAGAAAAAAGUUGCAUAUAGCUUCGUUGCCAAAUCAGACGGGCACUCGGGGCUGCAAUUGCAUGAUGGGCAAUUUGCCAUGCAUUAUUUGACGGAGUACCAACACGGAACACCCGGAAGCGUGAGGCAGCAGGUGCAUUCUUCAGUCAUUCAGUCCAGCCUUCCCUUUCGGUUUCUCCGCUGCCCUUGCCUAGCUAGGCUAAGCUUGUUUAGCUCGUAACAUUUCAAUGUUAAGUUUGCUAUCUUCCAAUGAGGAGUCCACUGUAGUAGCAUUAGCAGUUGGGUUGGUAUGGCCAUCUUGGUAGCUUCUUCUAGCCUCGGGACUUUACAAUCGAAUGCAUCAAUGCAAGAACAUAUGCAUUGUGAUGUACUAACAAGGAUCGAUAAGUAGAAUGAAAUCUGUGUCUUGUUCCAUUAAAUGAUGAUUAUAUUUAUACAAGAGGAAGGGACACCAAUACAUGCAUUGGUGUCCCAAGUUUUGGGCAUUCGCAUCCCGACACAGACGGUUACAACAUUGACUGCCUAAUUAACCAUUAAUUAACUAAUAAUUAAUUCUAAUUGAUCAUAAAUAAUUAUUCUCAACACUCUCCCUUGAUCAAUUUGCUCCAUUGAUUUGUAUAUUCUUGAAUCAUCAUGAAAUCUUGUAAUUUCCUCUAAAAACCCUAUGGGAAAAAUAUUGAGGAAAUAAUAAUAAUAUCGAUAUGUUAUGAAAAACUCCCUUUAAAAAUCCAAUGGGAAAAAUAAGGAGAAAAUGGUAUAACAUAUUUUGAAUAUUGUCUCUUGAUAAUUCAUAUUGAAUUAUAUGAACAAUAAAUAUGCCUUGUAUAUUAUCCACAAAAAUCCCGGUGGGGAAAAUAUAAAAUAUGACAUAUAAUCUUAUGUUAAUAUUGUCUCAUUAAAAACCUUUUAUGAGAAACUAGUGAGUAAAACUCAUAAUAGGAAAAGAGUGCAAUAUGAUGUUAUGAACAGGUUAAAUUCAGGUGAAUACUCCCCCUAAUGCUUGCAAAUUUUUAAGUCGUCGCAUACCAAUCCCAUGUACACAUUUUUUAAAUGUGGAGUUGGGUAAGGACUUAGUGAACAAAUCUGCGAGGUUAUCACGUGAUUUGGUUUGCAAGAUAUUUUUCUCCCCAUUUUGUUGUAAUUCAUGAGGAUAGAAUAGUUUAGGUGCAAUAUGUUUAGUUAUAUUGCUUUUUAUAUAACCUGUUUGCAUCUGGGCAACACAAGCAGAAUUAUCCUCAUAGAUAAUUGUUGGUGAUUCAAUCAAACCAAUACCACAUGAUUGUUGUAUAUGGUUAAUCAUUUUGCAUAGCUAUACACUUUCACGAGAUGCUUCGUAUAAAGCUAUUAUUUCUGAAUGAUUUGUGGAUGUAGCCACUAUAGUUUGCUUAGAAGGCUUCCACGAUAUGACUGUCCCACCGUGUAGGAACACGAAACAGGUCUGGGAUCUGGCAUUCUGGGGAUCAGAUAAAUAGCCAGCA